This 3585-nucleotide long non-coding RNA is filed under the name Mytilus galloprovincialis (Mediterranean mussel). The stretch from base 1179 to 1661 matches the Rfam family "Eukaryotic large subunit ribosomal RNA", at positions 2410 to 2988 of the family's 3401-position model. Lineage: Eukaryota; Metazoa; Mollusca; Bivalvia; Mytilida; Mytilidae. The record is from RNAcentral.
CUGGUAUGAUUGAAAUUUCAUCAUGUAACCCUAAAAGCAAUGGAAUAAUGAAUAAUUGGGUUUAUAACUCUUAUGAUUCUUACUUCAUUACAGAUUUUCCAUUUGACACACUGAAAUUAUCAAAACAACAUGGAUGAUUUACCAUGGUUUACAUCUUUCUCCAAUAAAAAUUAAUUAUUGUUAUCACAAUCAGACUGAUGGUCCAUGGUCUUAUUAAAGGUAAUAGGAUUAUACAAUCUGAAUUAUGAUUCAGGGUUUGAGUCUGAUUCUAAUUGUAUAUAAAUGUUUCAUUAGUGGACAGGUCAUGGUCCAAUUCUUUCUUGUAUUCAAACUCUACAUUAUCAAUGUAAAAUGAUCGCUUCUAAAUUCUUUAAUUAGAUAUUUUCGUAAAGAAACAAUAGACGUAACUGGUAUUACUUUUAUAUUAAACAGUUCAGUGUCAUCCUACUCGUGGGCAAUGGUUUAAUAUAUCUCUCUUUCAAUUUGAAAAUGAUCUAACCACAAUCUAUAAAUAUACGUACUAAGAAACACUGAAUCAUUGAUCCCCCUUUGCCAAAACCAGGUUCAACCCACCAUUUUUUUCUUUUUAAAAAAUGUCCUGUACCAAAUCAUGAAUAUUGCCAUUGUUAUAUUAUAGUUCAUUUCUGUGUGUGUUACAUUUUAACGUUGUGUCGUUUGUUUUCUAUUAUAUUUGACUGUGAAUUCACAUUACUGUAAGACGUGUCACGGUACUUUUCUAUCCCAAAUUCAUGUAUUUAGUUUUGAUGUUAUAUUUAUUAAUCUCAUCGGAUUUUGUCUAAUGCUAAGUCCGUUUCUAUGUAGGUUACAUUUUAAUGUUGUGUCAUUGUUCGUUUCCCUCAGUUUUAGUUUGUUACCCCGAUUUUGUUUUUGUCCAUCGAUUUACGAGUUUUGAACAGCGGUAUACUACUGUUGCCUAUAUUUGAAGUUGAUUAUUUCACAUCCCUAUCUGAGACUUGGACCAUAGUCUUAAUACACCUCUCAUGUGAGAGAUUAUUUGACCCACAAUCAUACUAUAGCGAAAGCACGCUUUUAAGGUGUUAAUUUCGCAUAAGAACUCGAAGUGUCAACAGAGUUAUCAUGUUACGAAGUCAUCAGUGUAAAUAAAAGAGACCAAAUGACACAGAAAUUAAAAACUAUAGAUCACCGUACGGCCUUCAACAUUGAGCAAAGCCUUAGUCUAUCAGUGUAAUGAUACAGUUGGUUCGGAGAUUGCGGCACACACGGUUCAAAUCAUCAACUCGAUUCUGGAAUAACGUUCCUGGACUUAGUCUGUCGGGGUAAUCCGCUCUAAAGACAGUGUCAGGUGGGUAGUUUGACUCGGUGGUUCAUCUGUCAAAAGGAAACACAGGUGUCAUAAGGUGAUCUUAGUGAGAACAUAUAGAGUAAAAGGGCAAACACUCACUUCAUUUUUACUUCCACUACAAAAACAGACCGUGACAGCGUGGCCUAUCGAUCCUUUUGACUUGCAGUGUUUUAAGUGGUGGCAGAAAAGUUACAACAGGGAUAUAUGGCUUGUGGCAGUCAAUCGUUGCUUUUGAGCCUUCGAUGUCGACUCUUUCUUCCCCACAUCUUUUCCCUUUCAAAUCAUCCUCAUGACGUUGGGGAAACAUUUUUGAUUUAGUCAUAUUGUAUUGAUACUUCAAGAUUAAUCUACUGAAUCAACAUAUAUUGAACAAAACGCCGCUGUUACAACGAUGCGGAAUUAGUUCGAAUAGAGGGACGGUGGAAACUUGUUUGAGAUAACAAGCACAUCACAAUAUAUCGCAUGGGUCGUCAACAUAAUUGCAAUUCCUAACACCAAUGUUGCUUUAAAUUAUAUCCAUUUAAACGACUUCAUUUCUCAGUUUUGAUGUUGAAUGUUUCAGUAGAGUAUUAAUUUCAAAUUAUCAAUCUAAUUCCUAAACCAUUCUUUUCACAAAAAACACCUUAGUUUUCGUUAUUUUUUUAUAGUCUCAUAGCUCACUGUGAUCAUGCCAAGAAAACAUAACUCGAUCAAUGACCACAUGAAAAGGUAUAAAUUCAAUGAAAUUGUAUUUUGCGCUUCAUAUGUCGACCAAGGCAUCAUAUUCUACAUGUUUUAACAACUUAAUCAAUGUUUUUCUUCAUUUUUUUAAAUUGUUUCACAUGCUGUCACGUUGUUAGAUUUUAUAACUUACGAACACAAAUACUAUAAAACCAGUAACUAUAUUUUGCCUAGCUAAUUUUCUUUUUAUUUUAGCGUUACUGAUGAGAAUCUAAUUAAAUCUCGAUGUAAUGCAUCUUCUGAUUGGCUGACAGUUUUUUGUCUAUCAGUUUUGAUACACAAUUUUGUUAUGCGACCGUUGCGUCAACAACGUUUUUUUCACGAUUUAAAAUGGAGUUCAAAAUUAAAUGAUUUUGUCUGUCUAUUCGAAAUAACAUAAAAAUUGGUAUGCACAAUUUUAAAUAACUCACUACUCGCAUCAUAUGUCGACAUUCAAACCUUAUUAAUAAAGAAGUAGCAUGAUUAAUAGUGAUACCAAUAUCCAUAAAAGUUUAAAGGAAAUCAAUGUUCUCAAAAACUUGCCGAAUGUCUCCUCUUAGAUCAUUAUGGUUGAUCACGUGCCUGUCGUUCAACUCGCGCGAAACAAACUUGUUUUCCUGAUUUCAAAUCUUAAUGGUUGAUCUCGCCUCUGUAGCUCAACUCUCACGAUAGCUCAACUCUCACGAUAAUUGUUUUCCUAUUAUUAGUUCCAUAUGGUUGAUAAACUGGUUUUUGCCAAACUCCUGUUAAUCGUUUUUCUUCCAUUAGUUCAAAAUGAGAGAAUUUCCUGAGGAGUUUGAAUACCCAUGACGAUUGAUGAAUGUAAAAAAACACUCCGUUCAAUAUGCAUGCGAUUCCCGCGUUUUUUCAUAUUUUGAUGCGUAUAUUAUGUAACAUUGCUUUACGAAAGUUGUGGCUUAUUCUUUAAAAAACAGUGAAUCCUGCAUUACAUGCAAAUAUAUCAAUUCAGAUAUAUCACUAGCAUAUAUAUCUGGACUGUAUCAACUUAUUCCAGUAAAAAAUAUCUUCAAAUAUACUCCUGGUGCGGGAGGUUCUCAUUGCAUUGAUGACCCAUUUGUGGCCUUCGGCUGUUGUGUGCUCUUUGGUCGGGUUGUUGUCUCAUUCCCCAUUUCCAUUCAUAAUUUUAUCUUUGCAGGAAUUGAAUGUUUGUUUACAGACAUGUUGCAUGAUAUCGAUCCAAAGUAGUCUUUCGUAACUAUUAUUGGUGUGCAAUUAGUUGAACGAUAUCAAAGUAUGCGUCAAAAACUAACAAUCAUGAAUGGAAAAUUAUACUACUGCCAAGUAUGAAUCAUGGUAAAAUAACUCCACAAAUGAAUGGUAAACUGUGUUUCACAAUAUAUAAUCCACAAAUUUAAGUCAACUGUUUCAGUUCUUUAUUCUUACCGAAUGUCUUAUCUUUCAAAUGUCGAAGCAUAAAACGUUUUGGGUAUCCAUCAAAUGCAGGUACAGAUGUGUUCUAGUCUUGAUAACCUUAUGAGAACAUCUAUGCCAGUAAUUUGCAAUUGGAAGAUUUUAUACCUCUUAUAUUUUUACAGCACCAC